This 492-nucleotide ribosomal RNA is filed under the name uncultured bacterium. RNAcentral describes it as "partial 16S ribosomal RNA". It matches the Rfam family "Bacterial small subunit ribosomal RNA", at positions 29 to 507 of the family's 1533-position model. The record is from RNAcentral.
AGUGAACGCUGGCGGUAGGCCUAACACAUGCAAGUCGAACGGCAGCACAGUAAGAGCUUGCUCUUACGGGUGGCGAGUGGCGGACGGGUGAGGAAUACAUCGGAAUCUACUUUUUCGUGGGGGAUAACGUAGGGAAACUUACGCUAAUACCGCAUACGACCUACGGGUGAAAGCAGGGGAUCUUCGGCCCUUGCGCGAUUGAAUGAGCCGAUGUCGGAUUAGCUAGUUGGCGGGGUAAAGGCCCACCAAGGCGACGAUCCGUAGUUGGUCUGAGAGGAUGAUCAGCCACACUGGAACUGAGACACGGUCCAGACUCCUACGGGAGGCAGCAGUGGGGAAUAUUGGACAAUGGGCGCAAGCCUGAUCCAGCCAUACCGCGUGGGUGAAGAAGGCCUUCGGGUUGUAAAGCCCUUUUGUUGGGAAAGAAAAGCAGCAGGUUAAUACCCCGCUGUUCUGACGGUACCCAAAGAAUAAGCACCGGCUAACUUCGUG